Molecule: long non-coding RNA, 271 nt
Filed under: Phoenix dactylifera (date palm)
Lineage: Eukaryota; Viridiplantae; Streptophyta; Magnoliopsida; Arecales; Arecaceae
Description: long non-coding RNA (PDAC_LNC005982)
Source: RNAcentral
AGGGAGGAGACGAGCACGAAAAGAUUGGGGGCGACGACGGCUAGGAUUGUCGAGUGCUGAACGCCUGAACUUAGUAGCACGCAGCAUUGAACUAGAUCAGAACCAGAACCCUCGAGUUUGUAUGUGUGCGUAUAGAGAGAGAGAGAGAGAGAGAGAGAGAGAAAGGUCGACCACGUUACACUCGAGUGUAGCGAGCCCUGGAUUUGGUUGGUCUAUCUGCCAUCCAUUCAGCACAAAUCGUGAGGAAAGGAGCGCCUCCUGUUACCUGUUA